Xenia sp. Carnegie-2017 is the source of this 808-nucleotide long non-coding RNA. RefSeq lists it as uncharacterized. The record is from RefSeq and is a predicted model, not a curated record. Lineage: Eukaryota; Metazoa; Cnidaria; Anthozoa; Malacalcyonacea; Xeniidae. The transcript is spliced from 2 exons.
ACAAAGUGAAGAUAUUGCUGAAAAUUAUGACAAACACCAAGAGUUAACCACCAAAACACAGGUUUUUAAUGACUCUGAAGAUGUCUUUACCAAGCAAUCUAUCCCUAUUAUUACAGAGGAACCCAAACAACCAUGUCAACAUAGUCAAGUAGUUCUCACAUAUACAGUUAUACUUUAUACUGUUUACCACUAGUCAUGUUUUUAAUGUGUUAUAAAUUGACAAUAUGCGUGUUGAUUGCUUAUGCAUGAAACACUGUGUAGCAAAACUUUAUUAACAUCUGGUAGAAAUGUGCUCAACAAACAUAAAAAUACAUUAAAAUAGAUAUUUUUGAAACAGUGAACAUUAAUAAUUACUGUGUACUUGUUCUUUCAGAGUCAUUUGUCACCCACUUGCCACUAUACUUGGCUAUUGUUACAGUUUGACUUUGCAUCAAAUGUAUCACGUCAGCAAUCCUUUGUUGUUCAUGAUUAUAAUGCAAACAAAAGAAAAAUUAUGGUGAUGUCAAAUUUUAUUUCCAUAAUUUCAAUGUUGGGUAUAUACCCAACUAAAUGAUAUUACUCAAUAUGCUUUUUUUGGUGCUAUAAUCUGCAUGUAUUUUUUUCUUCAGCAUAAUUCAUUUGUAUUUGUACAUCGAUAUCCCGACCUAUUGCUUGAUGGCUAUGGUUGGAUAUUGCGCUGCUCAUGUGAUGCAAAUAGAAAACGAUUUGUUGAAGCCCUACCUAGUAAUAUACAAUUAGAUCCUCAAAAAGGCAUGUAAAAUAGAUGUUACUGAAAUGAAAUGAUUAAAACAGGCCAAACAACAUUUUU